UACGUAGGGUGCGAGCGUUGUCCGGAAUUAUUGGGCGUAAAGGGCUCGUAGGCGGUUUGUCGCGUCGGGAGUGAAAAUCCAGGGCUUAACUCUGGACUGGCUUCCGAUACGGGCAGACUAGAGGUAUGCAGGGGAGAACGGAAUUCCUGGUGUAGCGGUGAAAUGCGCAGAUAUCAGGAGGAACACCGGUGGCGAAGGCGGUUCUCUGGGCAUUACCUGACGCUGAGGAGCGAAAGCAUGGGGAGCGAACAGG
RNAcentral lists this ribosomal RNA (253 nucleotides) under uncultured bacterium. Its description in RNAcentral is "partial 16S ribosomal RNA". It matches the Rfam family "Bacterial small subunit ribosomal RNA", at positions 524 to 776 of the family's 1533-position model. The record is from RNAcentral.